CGGUCCAGACUCCUACGGGAGGCAGCAGUGGGGAAUAUUGCACAAUGGGCGCAAGCCUGAUGCAGCCAUGCCGCGUGUAUGAAGAAGGCCUUCGGGUUGUAAAGUACUUUCAGCGGGGAGGAAGGUGUUGAGGUUAAUAACCUCAGCAAUUGACGUUACCCGCAGAAGAAGCACCGGCUAACUCCGUGCCAGCAGCCGCGGUAAUACGGAGGGUGCAAGCGUUAAUCGGAAUUACUGGGCGUAAAGCGCACGCAGGCGGUCUGUCAAGUCGGAUG
Molecule: ribosomal RNA, 275 nt
Filed under: Klebsiella michiganensis
Lineage: Bacteria; Pseudomonadati; Pseudomonadota; Gammaproteobacteria; Enterobacterales; Enterobacteriaceae
Also listed under: 1 other name
Description: partial 16S ribosomal RNA
Rfam family: Bacterial small subunit ribosomal RNA
Source: RNAcentral